RNAcentral lists this ribosomal RNA (710 nucleotides) under uncultured Eubacteriales bacterium. RNAcentral's name for it is "bacterial SSU rRNA". It matches the Rfam family "Bacterial small subunit ribosomal RNA", at positions 64 to 776 of the family's 1533-position model. The record is from RNAcentral. Lineage: Bacteria; Bacillati; Bacillota; Clostridia; Eubacteriales.
GAACGGGAUUUAGUAAACAGAAGCCUCGGCGGAAGAUUACUAAUGAGAGUGGCGAACGGGUGAGUAACGCGUGAGCAACCUGCCUAUGACAGUGGGAUAGCCUCGGGAAACCGGGAUUAAUACCGCAUAAAAUCGUAGAAACACAUGUUUUAACGGUCAAAGAUUUAUCGGUCAUAGAUGGGCUCGCGUCUGAUUAGCUAGUUGGUGAGAUAACAGCCCACCAAGGCGACGAUCAGUAGCCGGUCUGAGAGGAUGAACGGCCACAUUGGAACUGAGACACGGUCCAAACUCCUACGGGAGGCAGCAGUGGGGAAUAUUGCACAAUGGGGGAAACCCUGAUGCAGCGACGCCGCGUGAACGAAGAAGGUAUUCGUAUCGUAAAGUUCUGUCCUAUGGGAAGAUAAUGACAGUACCAUAGAAGAAAGCUCCGGCUAAAUACGUGCCAGCAGCCGCGGUAAUACGUAUGGAGCGAGCGUUGUCCGGAAUUAUUGGGCGUAAAGGGUACGCAGGCGGUUUAAUAAGUCGAAUGUUAAAGAUCGGGGCUCAACCCCGUAAAGCAUUGGAAACUGAUAAACUUGAGUAGUGGAGAGGAAAGUGGAAUUCCUAGUGUAGUGGUGAAAUACGUAGAUAUUAGGAGGAAUACCAGUAGCGAAGGCGACUUUCUGGACACAAACUGACGCUGAGGUACGAAAGCGUGGGGAGCAAACAGG